This 351-nucleotide long non-coding RNA is filed under the name Gallus gallus (chicken). Lineage: Eukaryota; Metazoa; Chordata; Aves; Galliformes; Phasianidae. The record is from RNAcentral.
CUCCGCCUGCACCGUCUCCCCCCGCUUCAGCUGCUCCGCCACCGAGUGGGGCAGGAUUUGGUAGAGCAGAGCCUCAGCCUUGCGCUUCUCCUCCAGGUAGGCCUGGGUGCGCUCCUCCACCAGCUCCUCCAGGUUGUUGGCGUACUGCUCCAUGCGUGUCAGCAGGUUGUCCAGGAUGUUGCUGCUGCUCUCCCUGUUGAACUUGCGGAGCUGGACCUUGAUCUGGUUGAAGUCGGGGCGCUCCAGGACGUCCUCGGCCCAGCAGUGCUGCAUGAGCUGGCCCAGCUCCUCCAUGUGGCACCCCACGUUGGCCGAGGGGCGGAAGCUGGGGCACUCCCCACUCUUCACCCG